CUAUUUUAUGUUCUGAUAUUUAUCUGGAAACAUUAUUUUUGUGUGUUUGAGUUCAGAACAAAAAGUAUCCAAAAAAGAAAGUAAUGGUUAUGAUCAGAAAGUGCUGAUUUAACAAUGAUGAUCUUGGAGAUGAUAGUGAUGGUAGUGGCCAUGUGCCAAUGAGGACUGUAGAGCUACAGAAAUGAUAGUGAUAGAGAUGUGAAAGGGACUAUGUCAACGUAAGAGUAUUCAUGGUGGUGAUGUGACAAUUCUUAUGGUGCCAGGGGAUGUAAAAGUGGCAUCCUUGUACAACAGGCUCUGGGGGCAAAACCGUAAUUCCAAGGUGGACCAAAGGUUUGGCAUCCAUUAGCAAACAUGGCCAAUAUGUGUUUGUGAUUUGGCUGAAUUACACUUAGUUGCUUACUGCUCCUCUUUUCUUAUCCACUUAACCAGUUAUGUUACCUGGUCCAGAUAUAAUCAAAAUGUCUAGGAAGUGACUUGGAGGAAAAGAAAAGGUAAGGAAAAAUCAAGGGGGUCAAAAAGAUUGGUUACCAAACUGCAAAGACUUCUUGAGCUCCAGUUCUGAGAGAAUGAAUCUAAACUUGACCACUGAAGCUAAGGUAAGGAGAGUUGGCUUGAAUGGGAGAAGAGUGAUCCCAGGGAAGGCUAGGAGGGGGUGAGGUCACUUUACUUAUAGGUUCCCUUGAUUGUGAUACAAGGUUACUGGGGGAAACUUGUCAAGCUCAUUUCCCUUUCAAUUGGUGUAAGAUAGCAAGAAGUUUGUUGUGGGUAUUACCUUGUCCUUCUGUAAUAACAGCAAGUUUCUCCCCACAGCAGGGCCACCUACAACUGGAUUGCUUCACUAAGUCAUGCAGGCAUGUUGUCUGGUCCAGAUAUAAUCAAAAUAUAUUGUAAUUGACUCAGAGGCAAAGAAGAGGUAUUGCUUAUGGUUCCCUCCCAGCAACCCAUCCACUGCCAUGGAGGAGAGAAAAAGAGAAAAGUAGAAAGAAAAAGCAAUUCAGCCAAAGGAACCAAGGAAUCAACUAAGACUGAAGAUGUCCAUCACAUUCCAAAUGAGCAUCCUCCCACUACUUCCGUGAAGGGAAAGAGGUAUACCUCAUGUUUCCCUCCUAACCAGCCAGCCAUGUCCAUGGGGGCAGGAGGGAAGGAAGAGUUGAAAGAAAAAGCAAUUUAACCAAAGGAACCAAGAUGUAAACUGAGUCAAAAAGUCUAUACUACAUUCCACACCAUGAGUCUCCCUCUUCUCAAGUGAAGGGAAAGAGUCAUGUUUCCUGGUCCACUUCUAAUCAGACUAUGUGAAGAGUAAACUGUAUGAAAGUAAAAGUAUAUGAAAAGAGGCAAAAGAGAGGUAAGAAAGGAUGAUGGGGGCAAAAAGGAGGGGUUGCCAAGUUAGGAAAUGGCUACUGAGCUAAGGUAAGAAGUUGAGUUGGCUUCGGUGUAAGAUGAGUGAUCUCAGGAAAAGGCUAGAGGUGGGUGGGGGGCACUGUAUUUAUGGGUUCUAUUUCUUACGAUCCAAAGUAGAUGGAAGAAACCUGUCAAGUCCUUUCCCCCUUCCAUUUGGAAUAAGUUCCCAAGACCUGUGUUAUGUGCUUUCACCUGUCCUUCUGUAGUAACAGCUGGAUCAUCCCCAUAGCUGGAGCCCAGGGCAUCACCCACAUCUACAAUGAAGCCUGCCACUCCAGGCUCCACCCCUGAGGAAUGAUAAAAAAGAGACUGAGAGAAAGAAUUUCCUUAAACAUGCAUAUAGCAGACCCGGAUUGUGUGUCAGGUGCCAGGCUAAGUUUUAGGACAUAAAGGCAAAAUCCAAAGCCCCCCUAAGCCUCUAGGAGCUUACAGGCUAUUGCAGGAAAAUGAUGCAUACAUAGUAAAUUAAAUACAAAAAAAUCAUACAGUUAUCGUUUACACAUUGCAGGGGUUAGGGGUGUGGCACCCCAUGAGCUGGGAAAUCCACAUAAAAUUUUUUGGCUCUCUGUUCAUACCAGAGAAGUCUUCCAGCUUCAUAGAUUUCCUUCUCUUUUUUCUUGAUAUUAUACAAGACCAUCCAUAUAUGUUAUGCAUUUCUGAAUUUCUAAACUUUUUUGGGGUUGUCUGCUGGCCUUCACAUGUCAUCUGCAGCUUCUGCAAAGCUCCUCCCAAAUUCCCAUUUAAUUUCUUAUGUUGACCUGCAAUAUAUUGAAAUCGUGAUGGAGAAAAUCACAAUGUGGAAGGGAUAACUGUACUUAAGUCUGGAGUGGGGAUAGUAGGGGCAAUCACCUGUGUGAUAUGAAGCAUAGUUUGUUCAAAAUACAUCAGGGGUUACAGAGGGCCUAGUGAAAGUGCAGGAAAGACUGAGGUAGCAACAAAGUUGGGGUUGACAGGGAUAGGGAUGAACCUGGGCAGGGAAGGGGGUCCUCAGCCCAGGUAAUUCCAGAACUUGGAAUCACAGUGAAUAGUAAGUUUCCAAGUCCAUCCCAGUGGAUUGCUUCAAGGCUUUAAUUCUUAAUUCAGGGGGUAUGGAGAGCAGGUGGUGGGGUGAACAAGGUAUACAAAUAGGUUAUAUGAUGUUUUGUUAGGUGAGUCAUGGCAAAAUGUUGUUCAAAAAUUCAUCAUUGUUUACUGUUCUUCUCUUUUCCACCCAGUCAAGUUUGGAGGCAGCUAGGUGGCACAGUGGCUAGAGCUCUGGGCCUAAAGUCAGGAAGACUUGAGUUC
Phascolarctos cinereus (koala) is the source of this 2688-nucleotide non-coding RNA. The record is from RefSeq and is a predicted model, not a curated record. Lineage: Eukaryota; Metazoa; Chordata; Mammalia; Diprotodontia; Phascolarctidae.